AAAGUAACAGUUUAGUGGCAAAUGUAUAUCUGAUGACAGCUUUAGCAACAAAGCAGAAGAAAAACACUUAAAAAAAAGAAAACAUUCAAACUAGGGCUAGAAGUGACCGAUAUUCGGCAUAGGAGAAGCCCCUGUGCUUAACCAACCAGCUUUCUGCCAAGCUGCUAAAUACAACAAAAAAACAAAUGAUAAAACACAAUUCCCCAAUACUCAAGAAACAAAGAAUCAAAAAUGUUUGACCUAACCCCAACCGAAACGCCAUCAGGAAGAGAUGCAUCGGCUGUAAUUUGGUGUCUCCACCACUACCUGUAUU
Molecule: non-coding RNA, 313 nt
Organism: Notechis scutatus (mainland tiger snake)
Lineage: Eukaryota; Metazoa; Chordata; Lepidosauria; Squamata; Elapidae
Source: RefSeq, a predicted model, not a curated record